Molecule: non-coding RNA, 45 nt
Filed under: Schistosoma mansoni
Lineage: Eukaryota; Metazoa; Platyhelminthes; Trematoda; Strigeidida; Schistosomatidae
Source: RNAcentral
ACCCAGCUGACGAGUCCUAAAUAGGACGAAACGCGCGUCCUGGAC